This 811-nucleotide ribosomal RNA is filed under the name uncultured bacterium. Its description in RNAcentral is "bacterial SSU rRNA". It matches the Rfam family "Bacterial small subunit ribosomal RNA", at positions 63 to 901 of the family's 1533-position model. The record is from RNAcentral.
CGAACGAGAAAGCGGGAGCAAUCUCGCAAGUAAAGUGGCGUACGGGUGAGUAACACGUGGGUAAUCUACCCUCUGGUGUGGAAUAACCCUGGGAAACCGGGGCUAAUACCGCAUAACCUCGAGAGAGGAAAGGAGCAAUCCGCCGGAGGAGGAGCCCGCGGCCGAUUAGCUAGUUGGUGAGGUAAAAGCUCACCAAGGCAAAGAUCGGUAGCCGGCCUGAGAGGGCACACGGCCACACUGGCACUGAAACACGGGCCAGACUCCUACGGGAGGCAGCAGUGGGGAAUCUUGCACAAUGGGGGAAACCCUGAUGCAGCGACGCCGCGUGAGCGAUGAAGCCCUUCGGGGUGUAAAGCUCUUUCGGCAGGGACGAUAAUGACGGUACCUGCAGAAGCAGCUGCGGCUAACUACGUGCCAGCAGCCGCGGUAAUACGUAGGCAGCAAGCGUUGUUCGGAGUUACUGGGCGUAAAGGGUGCGUAGGCGGUCCCCUAAGUUUGGUGUGAAAUCUCCCGGCUUAACUGGGAGGGUGCGCCGGAUACUGAGGGACUUGGGGUGCGGGAGGGGAGAGUAGAAUUCCUGGUGUGGCGGUGAAAUGCGUAGAUAUCAGGAGGAAUACCGGUGGUGUAAACGGCUCUCUGGACCGUAACUGACGCUGAGGCACGAAAGCGUGGGUAGCAAACAGGAUUAGAUACCCUGGUAGUCCACGCCCUAAACGAUGCAUGCUUUGGUGCGGGGUGAUUCAGUUCAUCUGUGCCGUAGCUAACGCGUUAAGCAUGCCGGCCUGGGGAGUACAGUCGCAAGGCUGAAACU